AUUUAUAAUGAAUAAAUAUAUUAGAUUAUUAAAAGUUAUGAUCUUAAAAUUUAAAAAAUUUGGCGGUAUUUUAAUCUAUUUAGAGGAACUUGUUUUAUAAUUGAUAAUCCACAUUUUAUCUUAUUUAGUUUUGUUUAAUUUGUAUAUCGUUGUCAUAAGAAAAUCUUAAAAAAGAAAAAAUUUUCUAAUAGAAAAAUUUUUUUAUAUGUCAGAUCAAGGUGCAGUUUAUAAUUGAAUAAAAAUGAGUUACAAUUAAAAUUAAUAAAUUAUGAAUUUUUAAUUUAAAUAUUUAAAUGAAAGAGGAUUUAAUAGUAAAUUUUAUAAGAGAGUAAAAUUGACUUUAGUUCUAAAAUAUGU
This 357-nucleotide ribosomal RNA is filed under the name unidentified. RNAcentral describes it as "Ralytupa pendleburyi partial 12S ribosomal RNA". The record is from RNAcentral.